This is a long non-coding RNA of Etheostoma spectabile (orangethroat darter), 216 nucleotides long. RefSeq lists it as uncharacterized. The transcript is spliced from 3 exons. The record is from RefSeq and is a predicted model, not a curated record. NCBI's taxonomy places the organism in Eukaryota, Metazoa, Chordata, Actinopteri, Perciformes, Percidae.
UUCCAAAACGAGCCACCAUGAAAAUCUGGCUAUGAAAUUCCGGAGAAGCCAGACCCACGUGACACGUUUUUCCAAUCAGCUGCCGGUUUUCAUUUUUUUGGGCGACAAUACAGAUUAGCGCCGCCUGCUGUAAUGAAGACGUAUUACGUCUCGUGCAUGCUCAGAACGUACACUCAAGUCGGCGUCGCUUAGAUGUCUUCUGAUGCCCUCUUUUGG